CCCGAUUCGAGUCCGGGUUCGGGAGUGGCGCGAGUCCGGGAACUGGAUGGGGGAGAGGAGGAGGAAGCCAGCUGCCAUUUCUUUCGGACAUCACGCAACCCUGUGGAGAGGACCAAGUGACGGGGCAAUGAGGUCCCUGUUCCAACUAGUGAGAGAAACUGAGGCCUGCCAACAAUUAAGAAAAUUAACUUGGAAGCUAAUCCUGCAGCAUUCAAAUGACUACUGGCCCAGCUGACAGCUUGACUGCAAUUUCAUGAGAGACCGUGAGCCAGAACCACCCAGCUAAGCUGUCCCCAGAGUCCUGGCCCUCAGAAACUGUGCGAGAUAAAUGUUUUUUUGUUUUAAGCUGCUAAGUUUUCGAGUAACCUGUUAUACAGCAAUAGAUAACUAAUACAGCUUUAAACUUCACUGUCCUGUAUCUCUAAAUUGGGUAUAUAAAUGACUGUUGUGAGGUUGAUAAAACAGCGUAUGUGAAAUUGCCUAAUGCUCCUGAAAUAAUAAAGGCACAAAAUAUGUCAA
This is a long non-coding RNA of Lemur catta (Ring-tailed lemur), 519 nucleotides long. RefSeq lists it as uncharacterized. The transcript has 2 exons. The record is from RefSeq and is a predicted model, not a curated record. Lineage: Eukaryota; Metazoa; Chordata; Mammalia; Primates; Lemuridae.